Molecule: ribosomal RNA, 431 nt
Filed under: Anolis capito
Lineage: Eukaryota; Metazoa; Chordata; Lepidosauria; Squamata; Anolidae
Description: partial 16S ribosomal RNA
Rfam family: Bacterial large subunit ribosomal RNA
Source: RNAcentral
AUAAAGACCCGUAUGAAUGGCUAAAUGAAUAUUUAACUGUCUCCUUUAACUAAUCAGUGAAACUGAUCUCUCAGUACAAAAGCUGAAAUACAGACAUAAGACGAGAAGACCCCGUGGAGCUUUAAACUUUUAACAAAAUAGAACAAAACAGGUAUUUAUGAUAAAAAGUUUUUAGUUGGGGCGACUUUGGAGUAAAACUAAACCUCCAAGAAAAGGCAUCGCCUAUUCAAGGCUAACAAGCCAAACUAUAAUAGACCCAGCACAUACUAACGCUGAUCAACGAACCAAGUUACCCCAGGGAUAACAGCGCCAUCUUCUUCAAGAGUUCAUAUCGACAAGAAGGUUUACGACCUCGAUGUUGGAUCAGGACACCCAAAUGGUGCAGCUGCUAUUAAAGGUUCGUUUGUUCAACGAUUAAUAGUCCUACGUGA